This 468-nucleotide ribosomal RNA is filed under the name uncultured bacterium. RNAcentral's name for it is "partial 16S ribosomal RNA". It matches the Rfam family "Bacterial small subunit ribosomal RNA", at positions 28 to 507 of the family's 1533-position model. The record is from RNAcentral.
GACGAACGCUGGCGGCGUGCUUAACACAUGCAAGUCGAACGGAAAGGCCCUGCUUUUGUGGGGUGCUCGAGUGGCGAACGGGUGAGUAACACGUGAGUAACCUGCCCUUGACUUUGGGAUAACUUCAGGAAACUGGGGCUAAUACCGGAUAGGAGCUCCUGCUGCAUGGUGGGGGUUGGAAAGUUUCGGCGGUUGGGGAUGGACUCGCGGCUUAUCCGCUUGAUGGUGGGGUAGUGGCUUACCAAGGCUUUGACGGGUAGCCGGCCUGAGAGGGUGACCGGCGACAUUGGGACUGAGAUACGGCCCAGACUCCUACGGGAGGCAGCAGUGGGGAAUAUUGCACAAUGGGCGGAAGCCUGAUGCAGCAACGCCGCGUGCGGGAUGACGGCCUUCGGGUUGUAAACCGCUUUCGCCGGUGACGAAGCGUGAGUGACGGUAAUGGGUAAAGAAGCACCGGCUAACUACGUG